Molecule: ribosomal RNA, 254 nt
Filed under: uncultured bacterium
Lineage: Bacteria
Description: partial 16S ribosomal RNA
Rfam family: Bacterial small subunit ribosomal RNA
Source: RNAcentral
UACGAAGGGGGCUAGCGUUGCUCGGAAUCACUGGGCGUAAAGCGUGCGCAGGCGGUUUUGUAAGUCUGUCGUGAAAGCCCCGGGCUCAACCUGGGAAUUGCGAUGGAGACUGCAAGGCUUGAAUCUGGCAGAGGGGGGUAGAAUUCCACGGUGUAGCAGUGAAAUGCGUAGAGAUGUGGAGGAACACCGAUGGCGAAGGCAGCCCCCUGGGUCAAGAUUGACGCUCAUGCACGAAAGCGUGGGGAGCAAACAGG